RNAcentral lists this long non-coding RNA (947 nucleotides) under Gallus gallus (chicken). The record is from RNAcentral. Lineage: Eukaryota; Metazoa; Chordata; Aves; Galliformes; Phasianidae.
CAGCCGCUCCAGCUGCCACGGGUUGCAGCCGCUCAGGAAGCGCAGCUCCUCUUUGCCGUCCUCCGUGCGCGCUGCAAGAGAGAGGAGGCACUGAGAGAGGGGACGCGGGGACACCUCGGGCUGCAGCCCCCAGCCCGGUCCGGCGGGCACUCACCCUUCUCGUGCUGCAGCCAGCGGCAGUGCAGGUAGUAGUGAUAGCAGCUCUCGAACUCACGCUCUGUGUAGUUGGGCACGAGGAUGGGGACAAAGGGAUCCAGUGCAUCAAACCCCUCCUUUCCCAGCAGCUCGUGGGGCAGAUGGGCAGAGCUGGGCUUGAAGAGGGAACCGGUCUGGCUGAGCGUUGUCACCACAGCACCACCGCUCCAGUUAUUCAUCACCAUCUUCCUUAGGUUGUACACCAACGUCAGCUCCUCUGGAGAAACAGGGCUUUUGUCUUCUUUCUUUAACGUUGUCCUUCCCCAGAGUGCAUUGACUCCGUCCACUGCCACCAGAACUCUGAAUGAACCCAGACAGCACUGCUGCUUGAUCUCUUUCAGCACCACCCCAACCGCGUCGCUGGCGUUCUUCACUCGAGUUAAGCCCUGCUCCACCACCUCCCCCAGCGGCCUGCCCUGCUCUGUGCUGUCUCGUUUGCCCCACACGUAUUUUUGUUGUGUUUUUAUCUGUGUAAGAGAACAACAGCAACGAAAUCAAUGGAGUAAUACAAAGGCAGCCAUCCCCACGGAGGGAUUUAAAUUACUUCUUUUAAAAACUGCAUUCUGGCAACGGGGAGGUUUUGGGUAUGCAACGUGAGUGCAUGCAUCACUGCAUGAAGCACUUCUCAUCAAUGGGCACGUGCAGACUUCACCUCCAGCUGCUCACAGAACAGCAGCACACACACACACGUGGACCCAGGGAGGAGAUCCCGUGGUGAUGAUCUCUCGUGGCUGCAAACCAACAGCCUGGCA